CAGCACGCACACCGGGGAGAAAUCGCACCACUGUGUCGUGUGUGGGGAAGGCUUCCACCGAAAGACCAACGUGAGGCUGCACAUGAAGAGUCACACCACUGCUAAAUGACCAUCUGUCAAUGAUCAUUACACACAGCGAAUGAAAUGAUGUGAGAGGUGCGGCUCAUCCUCAGGUUGCAGAUAGACAUUAUUACCAGCACUUUGUAUUUUCAUCAUCGUUGCAUCGCCUCAGUUUUUACAGUCGAACAUUUAGAAAACAGACUCCAGUCCGAGCAGGGACACUUCAGAGCUCUGAGUCCCUUCAUGUGUAAAACCAUCACACAUUUUUAUCAACAACUUUUCUAACUUGCUAUAUUCUCUCGUUACAUUUCUAUCAGAGUUUUAAUAAAUCACUUUCUGAAAUAAAGAUGUUUUUCUGGAGCUGAAGAUAGAAAAGGUUAACGAGUGUCUUGUCUCUGUUGAGGGCUUGCUCUGAUUGGUCGACAGUCAAGCGAUGAGUCAGGCUCCAGUUACGACAAAACAGGUUCAUACUCGCUUGGAUGUUCGCCACACCUUAAUUUUGUUGUGAACCAGUUGGCGACAACCUGCUGCGUCACAAACUCGAAGUGAAUAAAUAAGAGCUGCUCCCCAAAGGUUUUCAUCAGGACUCACACACUUUUCACUGUCGAACACUCAGAAUCACUCAUACUAACAUGGACGCCCCAGCCAGAGCCGCCGCAGCCACUGCCGCUGCCGCCAAAGCCGCAGCCGAAGCCACCGCCGACGCAGCCGCCAAAGCAGCAGCCGCCACCGCCGCCGCCGCAGCCGCCGCCGCCGCCCUUUAAUGAUCGUGGUCGUCUUGAUGUGGGAUCAUGUGAACAUCUGAGCAGCGAGAUGUUACCAAUCUGCUAAAUAAACCUUGAGAAGCUGUUUGUUGAAAACCAAGUGUCCUGUUCAUUUCAUCUCUGGGAGCAGAAACGCUCCUACACAUAAACCUCCAGAAAUCAUGACGCAUCACUCAGAAACUUGGGGUGGCACCCUUUUCACAUUGAAAUUUUUUCUAUAAGAUUUAAAGAAGGCUUCAAAAUAGGAAACUCAACCAAGCCGUUGUGUAAUAAUUAUUAUUAUAAUUUAAUUAUAAUUUUUACACGAGCCACGCAACAGACUUGAUGAGUUCAUUUAAACACUGAAGAUUAAUUUUAAGUAGAAAAUUCCUCCUGCCGAGAAAUUUCGAAUGGGUGCCUUACUAGCGGCCGGAUCCAAUGACAAAACAUUUUUUUGGGGGAAGAGAGACAGACUUUUGUCAAUUUGAGAAUGAGAGAGAGACAAAAUGUACCAGUUAGAGAGAGAGAGAGAGAGAGAGAGAGAGAGAGAGAGAGAGAGAGAGAGAGAGAGAGAGAGAGAGAGAGAGACUUUAUCAGUGGAUAGCGCUGUUGGGACAGUGUUUUGGCAAGACCAUGUUUAAUCAAAAGCCUGAAAACACAUGUUCCAUUGUUCUGGAAAAAGCCAGAGCACAGGGAACUCAGUCUCCCAGGAUUCCCAAACUUCACACAGAGGUCAGAAAAGCCACAAGGGUCGCUCCUAUUGGUCACUUUGGACCCCAUGCCCUGUGAGGUACCGGGGCAAUAUAAGGCCACUUCUCCCCCUCCUCUAUCUCUUUCUUCAAUCCGUCUGAGGGCAGAAGGAUGUCCAGCCUCUCUUCCUUCAUCGCAAAGAGGAGAAGCCUGAUUUCUCCAGGUCGUAUGUUCUCUUCGCAUCCAACUCUACGAGAGGAGCACAAAGGUGCAGCUUCCAGCUCAUCUCACCAAGGAAACCUCCUCGCAACUCAAGCUCUACCAAACUCCUAGAAGCGACAAUUAUACUAGGCUAAGCAAGACUGUUUAUUUGAUUUUGUGUGGUCUUUAUUAGUUUGAUUUGUGUUGUGAUGUUUUGGUUAUAAGUUAUUCGAAGUAAUGUUAGUUUGCUAGGCUCCUCAGAGUCUCUCUUUGCAUUUCAUUCUACAUCCUUUGUCUAACUUAGCAUCAACACAGACACACGCAUAUCUCUUCCUAAAUGUAUCUGUAUCUGUAUCUGUAUCUGUAGUUAUCGCCUCCCCCGCUACCCAUCAUAAAACCACUUCACAAGGA
Long non-coding RNA from Pleuronectes platessa (European plaice), 2105 nucleotides. RefSeq lists it as uncharacterized. NCBI's taxonomy places the organism in Eukaryota, Metazoa, Chordata, Actinopteri, Pleuronectiformes, Pleuronectidae. The record is from RefSeq and is a predicted model, not a curated record. The transcript has 2 exons.